GAUGAAUGCUGGCGGCGUGCCUAAUACAUGCAAGUCGAGCGAACAGAUGAGGAGCUUGCUCCUCUGACGUUAGCGGCGGACGGGUGAGUAACACGUGGAUAACCUACCUAUAAGACUGGGAUAACUUCGGGAAACCGGAGCUAAUACCGGAUAAUAUAUUGAACCGCAUGGUUCAAUAGUGAAAGACGGUUUUGCUGUCACUUAUAGAUGGAUCCGCGCCGCAUUAGCUAGUUGGUAAGGUAACGGCUUACCAAGGCAACGAUGCGUAGCCGACCUGAGAGGGUGAUCGGCCACACUGGAACUGAGACACGGUCCAGACUCCUACGGGAGGCAGCAGUAGGGAAUCUUCCGCAAUGGGCGAAAGCCUGACGGAGCAACGCCGCGUGAGUGAUGAAGGUCUUCGGAUCGUAAAACUCUGUUAUUAGGGAAGAACAAAUGUGUAAGUAACUAUGCACGUCUUGACUGUACCUAAUCAGAAAGCCACGGCUAACUACGUG
Molecule: ribosomal RNA, 497 nt
Filed under: uncultured bacterium
Lineage: Bacteria
Description: partial 16S ribosomal RNA
Rfam family: Bacterial small subunit ribosomal RNA
Source: RNAcentral